UGCAUUUCUCCCAUGAAUUUGAACCUGGAACACGAGCUGUAAAAUUUAGGCAGAAUAUCGAGUCUCUCGCUCAUUUUAAAUUUAUUGCAUAACGGGGGGGCGCGUAACCAGUCGGUAACUUGGGCCCCCAGUAACAAGCAUUUAGGAAUCGCUCUUUAAGGAAUGAGAUGGGAAAUUACUCCUUUCCUAGUCUUUCACAGGCUGCUGUGCUGGAAAGACCAAGAAAUGGCCUUAUAAAUCUUUAAAAAAAGAAAAAUUCCCAUGAAGUGACUAGGAUGCCUAUGAUUUUUUUUCACGGGCAAGUUGGACAGUGACCCUCAGUUUGCCAAAACUGGUGUUCACUUUUAGCCUGGAAGGGACAGACAUUUAUUGUGCAUUUACCAGUGUUAGAUCCUGUGCUAGGCAUUUUACUGCAUACUACCUAAUUUUUACAACUGUCCUCUCUGGGGUAGGUGGUAUUAUCUCUCUCUUUUUUUUUUUAACAGACGAAUUCACUUAGGCCCAGGGAGCUGCAGUGAUUAAUUUCAAGGUCACACAGUGUCAAGGAUGGAAUCCAGACCUUAUUUCCUUAUUGGCCACAGGUACUUUGGGUGACCCUGAGAUCUGGCAAAAAGGGCUCUGGACUAUUCUCCACUUCUUCCUCAGACUGCUCAAUCUUGUGGAUAGGUGAGACAUGGUCUUAUCACUGUAACAUAGUAGUUGUGAAAGCGACUCUGGAGCCAGCCUGUGGGGGCUUGAUUUCUGACGCAGCCACUUACUGUGUGACCUUGGGAUGCCAGCCAUCUUCUAAGAGUGAGAGGCAGAGAAGAAGCAGGGCGCUGAGGUGGAUGAGGGACAAAGAGGAGGGACCUGUGAGGACAAGGCUGACUCAGAAAGACCUGAGACGACAACAGCAUCAUAACCAUGAGAGCUAGAAGCCGGGGGUGCAAACCAGGUUCUGGCCCUGGGCCAAGCCCCGAGGCUCUAGGCUAGAGGAAGAACUAUCAAGACCUUAAAAGACCAAAUUCCAAAAAAGAAAGGACAAUAAGGAAACAAGAUAAGUAACCCUUCAACGAGCAGAAGCUGAUUAGUCACACAGAAGCCGUCUGAAUUAUAAGCAGCCUGCCCAGUGGUGACUUCAAGUCCAGUUUUCUAGAACCUUUGCCUCCUUGGCCACCUGUGCAUACCUUGAUCUUAGCACUCGGUAUAUUAGAAACUCUCUGCAUCUCUCUCAUUGACAAACUACAUUUCUCUAAGAUGGGGACCAUGCUGACUCAACAGCUCAGUAUGAACUCACUUAAUACUCGGUGCUGUGCACAAGUUCUUGGGCCACUGUAGGUAGAAAACAAACGUUUUUGAACUGCUAUAAUAACUGAUAAAAUUGACAUUCUGUAGUAUUCCUGCAGAGGUGAAAGGCACAAAAGUAAUAAUAAGCUUAAGAGCCCUUAUGUGGAGGGAUGAAAUUUUAAUAAUUAAAAUAAAUAUCUAAGUAAAAUGUUAGCGGUCAGAAGGAGAACUAGAAGAAUUUUGAGCAGAAAAACUCCCAGUUUACCCAGUUCACCCUAAAGGCAGGAAGAUGGGAGAGAAUCUAAAGAUGAAGAACAGAAGCUACAUCUGACUCCCUUUCCACCUUCAGAAGAGAUACUUUUGAGUUUCCAGUUCCUGACAUAUAAAUCCCUAAAGCAUAAAGGAAGCUCUGACUUAAAACAUGGCUAGUCACAAUCACAGAGAAAUGAAAAGGGAAGAAGAGAGAUGGGGAGAAACACAUGGGCAGCGAGACACACUUGCUUCCCCCACCCCCGCUCUCGAGCUCUCUCUGUCACACACCAUUACACAGUGGAAUAAUACAAAAUGUUUGCCCUGUUCCAAGAUUCGCCUUCCUACUAAGGGUCUGGUCUGCCCAUUCAUUGAUGAAACAUGUCACUGAGAUCCUGACGUUCGCAGUUAGGCUCCCUCGUCAAAGAGGGUAUGUGUGACAUAACCACAUGUGUUUACAGAGCCAUAUUACACAUCAGCUUCUUGCGGGGCACCAAGAAAGCCAGUCAAUCUGGAUAAGUAGCCUGUAAUUCAAACUGAAGGGAGCUCUGAGACCAGAAUGAGGCUUGUUCAGUGAUUCUCAGGCCUGGAUGGACAUGAGAAUCACCUGGGGAGCUUUAAAAAAAAAUACUAGUGUACACUCAACCCAAACCAAUUAAAUCAGAAUCGCUAGGGGUGAAGUCUGGGUAUUGUUUUUCUUCUUUUUAAAGCUCCACAAAGAAUUAUCAUGAAUUUUUUUCCCCUCAUAGUAAAAGCAAGUGGUUAUGUUUUUUGUAAAAUGUCUACUAGGGAUAGAAGAUUUGCUUUACAAUAUCCCAUGAAAGGGGCAGUUUUAAUUAUACAAGACUGGCAAACGUUGGUGAUUGUUGAAGCUGGGUGAUGGGCACUCAGGAAGUGAUUAUAUCAUUCUAUUCUUGUAUAGUUAAAAAACUCUAUAAUAAAAAGUUACUUUAUAAAACAGCAGAAACAACCAUCUGUUCUCUUCCUACCAAAUGUGUACGUGUAUAUGUAUAAUGUACUUAAUAUUAAAAAUAAUUAUGAAAACAUUGCAAUAAAAGCUUUGCAAGCGAUUCUAAUGUGCAACCAGAGUUGAGAACCACCAGGCUAUGUGCCUGAAGGAGGGGCAAACUUGACUUGGAAAAUAAAGAUUUAAAUAAGCAGCAAGAGGCAAUCCAGGUGAACGAGAUCAACUAAGGCUUGUGGCAGAUGCAACCCAGGGAGGAUGGCAGGCCUCCCCUACCGAGUCACUGUCUCCAGUUUCUGCUGUGCGUCCAUUUGCCUGAAUUUUUAGCAUCUUUAUUCACAAGUAAAUUGUAACUACACACAUACAUAUGUGUG
Molecule: non-coding RNA, 2853 nt
Organism: Miniopterus natalensis
Lineage: Eukaryota; Metazoa; Chordata; Mammalia; Chiroptera; Miniopteridae
Source: RefSeq, a predicted model, not a curated record